Pipra filicauda (Wire-tailed manakin) is the source of this 13835-nucleotide long non-coding RNA. RefSeq lists it as uncharacterized. The record is from RefSeq and is a predicted model, not a curated record. The transcript has 24 exons. NCBI's taxonomy places the organism in Eukaryota, Metazoa, Chordata, Aves, Passeriformes, Pipridae.
CCACAGCUCCUGGAGCCCGUCACCAGCCCAGCCUGGCAGGGACAGUGGGAACAGUGCCCCUCACCCUGCCCUGGAGCCCCAGAGUGACCAGAGGCUCCGAGGCCCUGCCUGGGGGAGGCCACAGGGCCCAGAGCAGGUCAAACCCAAGGCUGUGCUCCCCACACGGUCCGGGCCCUCCCAUCCGGACACCUGAGAGCUGCUCUGCCACAGGGACCUGACGCUGCCGAGGUCUCAAAGAAUCACAAAACUCUCAACUCUCAUCCUGAUGCAAACCAGAGCCUCUCAGUGAGACACUCUGUCUUUUGGACACCAAGUUGUCAUCAAAAAUCUCACCAUCACUUCUUCACCUGCUCAUGUGGUGCCCAGCUGUGCCUUGUUGGCCCUGCACUUGCCUGUUGUAUGAGAUGUGCUACUCAGAGGCUGAUGUGAUAAACUCUGGCUCUAAUGGAAAACCAGUUAGGAAGCAGAAAGAGGAGAGAUUGCAGAGCUGGGGGCAGCAAUACCCAACUUGUGACCCAACACUGACCUGCUGGAGUGGGGCAAGAACUUCCAUGGGAAGCUGGGAAAAAGAACUUGAUCCUACAGUUCAACAGAUUCAGCCAAUACUUGCCAUGCCUUGAGAUGGCAUUUCCACUGGAAUGCUGAAGGCACCUCAAGGUCUACACAAGGACCAUUAUGUCAUGAGAAAUAUGAGAGAUAACAAGUCCUGCAAAGCCAUAAUUUGUGUGCAGGCUGACAUGUUUCUGCAGCAUGGACAGGGAAAAAGAGGUUGUGGGUUUGUUUUUUUUAGAUUUUUAACACAGUUCAGAAACAGAUGAGCGUUUAACCUCCUGAGACCAAACAUAUGUUACUAUGAAGUAGCAAACUUGCGUGUUUGUUGCCCAUUUCAUGGCUGGAAGCUGAAGAUGUUUUGGCAUCACUAGUUAAAGUUUGAUAAAGCUUCCUGAGCUCAGCAUGUCCUGCUGUUGUUCGGGAGAGAUACCGGCUCAGCUGGCUGCUUUUCCAGGCAGCACUGCUCUCCCCAGGCCUCCCCCUGCAGACACCAACUUCUGUGUGAUAAGGAGAAGUUUUCAGCUCUGAACACUCAUCAAAAACACCACUCCUCCGUGUGGUGUUGCCUGCAAAGCAGUGGAAAGAUCAAACAGCCCCUCAGGCAGCUGCUCACAUUGGUCAGUGCCUCUGAGAAGGAUGAGCCCAUCAGUGGAGCCGAGCACUGCUGUACAUCACUGGCACGGGGAGGGGGAAUGACCUUGAGCUCUUGGCCAAGUCAGUAACAGUGUCAAUCCAUUAUCUCCAGGUACUAUCCAACAAGCUGCUGCAGGCAGGGAUGGCUCUGGAGCAGUUUGUAACUGCUUCAAUUGGAAAGCACAUCUAAACUUAAUUUAGUGAAUUUAGCAACACUGGAAACCCCCACUGUUACUAGGAGUGACAGAGCCCUGGGUCUGUGUUCCUUUACACUCUUGUAAAAAUAAGAUAAUGCCCCCUUACGUCUGCUGUUCUUUCUGUUAUCAAAAUUUGGACAAGUCACUAGUGGGGGUUUUCUUCAUAAAUCCUCAAAAGCUGUAAAAAGUGGCAACUUCACAGUUGCUAUGCCAACACUCCAUAACAGAGCAAAUGACAUGAUGUGGUUCCCAGCAUUUUGGCUGUUGUUUUUCCUACUAGAGUGACAAGUUAACGUUGGCUGUUUUGUUACUGAGGAGCAGGAUCGUUGUUCCAAACAGCUGUCAUUUAAAAAAAGCGAGAAUAGAAAUGAAGGAAUAAGUUCCAUGUAACCAAUGGAUUUCCCUUGCUCAUCUAUUUAAUUACUUCAUUGUGGUGAGUAUGAGGAAGAUUUUCUAUAUGACCAUAAUAAGAAACUAGCCCUUCUAUGUCAGGAAUAAUAGGUACUGAACUGAAGUUCAGUCCUGCUUCAGCACAAACCAAUAACCAAAUUCAGAAUAAUUUCAUCAUUAUGGGCUAAGCGAUGCAAUCCCUGGCUUAGAGUGCAAUAAAAAUCUACCAGAAGCACAGAGAAUCAGCAAAAACUAUUUUCCAAAGUCUGGAUUUCCUGUGCACAAUAAAUUGUCAGAACAUCUCAUAGCCCAAGAAGGUACAAAUUAGGUUGUUGGUUUCCAGCUGCAAGUUAUUGGUGUGGGGAAUGACAUGGAUCAACAGAGCUGCUUGUGCACAUCCAUGUUUCCAGACUUUAAAGAGCUACUGACAAGGUAAUUGUUUGAUAGAUGCAGCAUGUUAUGGGGCUGCUCUCCAAACAACACCAGCAUCAAUAUUUGCUCAUAUUGUCAGCAUAUGAGCGAUCUGCCCUCAAAUUGUGUCUGAAAGCAACACGACCACAUUUUCUCAGAAAAAGUUGCAUUUGCAUGUUCAGUGGAGAAAAAUCUCUGUUGGUGAUAACACACUGUGGUCAAGCUGCUCAAAAUUGCUGAGUAACUUCUGCCAGACAAACGCUCGCUGAGCGUGUUCUGAGAACACUGAGCACGCGCUGGGCUGGCAGAGCUGUCAGUCUCCACAUGAACUCUGGGAACCAACUCAUUCCAACUCAACUGGGAUUCAACUUGCAUUGCCCUGAGCAACACCAGGAGUUUCCUGAGUCAGUGAAUAGGAUCAGUUGUUUUAAUUUGAACCUUUCAGAAAGCAAAUCAGAACAAACCAGUCAGACCGACAGCGUUGAAAUUGCCCGUUUAUGUAUUAUGAUGUUUUUGGUCUGCUUGCACUUUUCUCCAUAAUCAUAUUGUCAUAAACAUUUUCCACUGAAAGUAUAAUGUGAACAACCCUUUUACUUUUCCAAUCCAGUGAAUUUUUAGGAAGAUGAACUGAAUAACAUUUCCAUAAAUCAGAAAGCAUUAAGUGGUACCAAUGGAAGGGAACUUGUUUCAACUGGACAGAAAUUCUUCUUCUCUGUUGUGUUUUUAUGCAUUGGGGCCAUCUACAGAUGAAGUUAUAAGGCAGUUUUCAUGCAUGAGGUAAGAAAAUGGUCAAUACUAGGUUUUAAAGCAUUUUAGGAGACUUUGCCCUUAGCAGUGUAUGUCUUGUUUGACCAGUAAAUUAGAAGGGAUUCCACUUUAUAUUAAAAACAAAUAUAAGUAGGCUUGAAAUUUCUCUAAAACGCCCUUAUAAUAAAUUCCACCUCAAACAGAUUUCAUUGCGCUGCAAGUUUUCCACCAUAUUUUUCAGCUUAUGGGUGCAUGUAAAAUAUUAUGUAUUAUCCUUUCUUUAGUGUCACUAGUGCCACACUAUUUAGGAAGUUCAUUUGGUUGUCCUGGGGUUAAAGAAAGCCUAAACUUGUACUUGACACUCUUUCUUGUUACAGGGUCCUGCUUGCUUUCUGCUCUGUAGAAAAUGGAUCAGUGUCAUUGGUCUGUCUUUCCAUUAUUGCCAUUUUCCUAUUUUUAGCAUAUUUUUCAUUACUAUGCCCUAAUUCAUGUUAAAAUUCAGUGUGUCCUGUUUCCUUGACUCCAGACAUUGCUCCUUGAAGAUGCAGAUCUGCUGAAAAACAGUACUCUCUAAAAAGUAAACAGUUUCCCUUACUCUCAGACUAACAUUAAAAAACAGUCUCUCAAAAGUUCUCAAAGGAACAUGUUUAAAAAUGAAUGGGUAGACAUUUGUCUUUGUAAUGGAUAGUGUAUUUUUAGGUAGUAUAAAUUUUAUAGAAGUCAUAAAGUUUUAUGAACUUUAACAAAUGUCCUUCUCAGAAUAACUUGGGUCUUACUGUCAGUAUGUUAUCUGGGAAAAGGCGACCAGAUCUGUUCCUAAAAGUGAGGAAUUUGCAAGUGGGAGGUUACUUAGGUUUGGGAAGAGAGUUUAAACUCAAUCCUUUCAACGCCUGCAUAGGCAAUGCAGCAAAACCAGUUGUGUGGCUUCAGCAUUCUUUUGGUUUUUCUCUAAAACCCAAUAAACCUCUGUACCAGGCAGGAUUUGUCUUCUCUUGCAGGAAUUUGUCUCCCUUUCUUGGGACAAAUGUGACCUGCUCACUAGUCCCAUAAGCUACAAGUUACUUGAGCUGAACUUGAGGAGAAAAGGUCCCUGGACUUGCUGUGUCCGUGUCCCACGUGCUGGCACCCAGCCCUCAGGGACUAAGGAUCUUGUUGCAAACAGAUGGAGUACAGGCAGGUUGGGCCAUGAAUGCUUUUCCACCUCCACACCAUCGCUAUAUGGUCCAAAAUGUGGCAUAAAAUGCUGUAUUUUCCUUUUUGCCCUCUUAGCCCUGGCUCUGUCACUGAUUGUCUAGUGCACUGAUGUUGAACUGACAGCUGGGAAGCGGAGGGGGAGGAAGGACAGUGCCUAGACCACCCACUCGGGGCCCUGACUCUGCUCCACCUCCGCUGACCUACCUGGGGGUGGGCACUGGGACUCAGGAGAGAAGCCCCAAGAGCAUCUCCUUCCCUCUGCCUUCAAGCUGCCAGGAUUUUCCCUGGACUGCAGCACAGCCUCAGCUAUACCCAGGGAUACAGAAGCUGCAUCACUUGCCGGCGCUGGGCUCUCUCUCCUGAGGGCAGUACGUGUUCUCCAUCAAGGGGGUCAAUGAGUUUAGUUACACUUCAUCAGAACUCUUGUAGGUGUCAGGAAAACUGAGCUCAUAAUCCUGGUAUUACAGCCUUGUGGGAAAGAAGACCCUACUCUGAGGUUUGCCACGUGAAUUUUGGGUUCUGCUGCUCAAACACCUCUUUCUGCAACUGCCUUUAGUAAAGGAAUCUUGUGACUAUAAAUCCCACGUGUGUGACAACUGUAUUUAAAGCUGAAUUACCAAAAAAUGCUCCAAUUUCAAGGGUUUUUGGCAUCAGUAUUUGUUGGUCAUUCAAAUGCUACUGAACAGCAAAUCCUUUAAGAGUGAAGAGCCAUAAAUGUACCCUGGGAAGUGAGGGAGCAACAUAUUUGUAUCAUCCAGAGGAGGAAGGGCACGGAGUCCUUCCACACCCGGUGAGGACUCCAUGGGCUGGUGAAUACAAAGGGAACAGUGAGCAGAUGGUGGACAGGAGGCACUAAUGCCACUGCUGGUCUCCUGGGGUCGCUCCAGAUUGCACCAGGAAGGGUCUCCAGGUGGCUCCUGCUGAGGAAGGUGGGUGAAUAUGAUCAAUAGAAGGCAUCAAGUGCUGGCUUGCGAAUCAAAGGCACAACUGUGGAAAUGCCAGUCUGCACAUGGGGUUUGACUGAGCUGCCAGGAAGUUAUCCAGAGGCACUGGAAGACCAACCCGGUAACAGGAAAUGAAUGAAAGCAUUUCUGAGCGGAUCCUGGGCUGUGAGUGCCGCUGGGGGUAUUUGUACAGGCAAUUCACCCCAUUAAGGGGCUGCUCAGAUGUCACAGAUUAGCCACUGCCAGCACCAGUGACCUUUCUGCACAGUGCUUUAAGAACAAAAAGAUGGAAAUUCCCAUUUUCUAAACGUGGUCCAAAAAAACCCCUCUGUGCUCUUGUUAAAGCAGCUGCAUUGAAGAGGAGUGAUUAGAACUGGCCUGCUUUUUUUUUUAGCUUGCACCUGUCUCUCAUUCCACAGCUGAGGACACACUGAAAUCUGCUUCCCUAUAGGCCUGGUCCUGCCUGAGCUUCAGGUGGUAAUUAAAUUCAUCAUCAUCUACACCUAUUUCCACUUAACCUCUUGAGGGGAAGAGCCACCUGAACACCAGCAGUUGCUGGAACUUGCAGGAGUGAGGCACCCACAGGGAAUAGAAGCUCUCCCAUUUCUCCAUCUCCAAAAGGCCUUCCAUCCUUCCAGAGCAACCCAGAGCCCUUCAGUGCCACACUUGUGAUGUUGGACUGGUUUGGAAUGUGCAGUCAGCAGAAGGGAAGGUGGGAGCACAUGGGAAAACACACUGCAUCUCCCUAUGCAGAGAUAUCCCAAGUGUGCACCUCAAAGGAGGAGCAGUUCAUUGCUGGCCAAUCCCAUGGCUAUUGCAUGAACACCCUCAUCAUUCUCUGCUCUUCUGAGAGAUAAACUUCCCUGGACUUCAGGAAAACUUCACAUCAGCGCUUCUUAAUAUCCUCUAUCAGAGGCACAAAAAGCCCUCAAAUUAUUUAGGGAGAAAAACCUUAUCCCACUUCAGAGACAAGAUAACCUGUGGAGGUGCAGAGCUUAGAUUGUCUUCCCAAAUGGAUACAGCAUGGGAAUGAGGAAUCAGAGGACUCAGUGAAGCAGAAAACCAAAAGUUAGUCUUCAGUGGUUGGGGAAAAUCCUGAAAGUUGGCGGAGGUGGUCUCCGGAUGAUCCAGCCCAGUUUUUCCAGGACGAGGGAGCAAAGAGCUGGCAAGUGCAGAUUCCAGUUGCUCCUGGAGUCACAGAAAAGGGAAGAGGAAACACCGGGAUGAGGGGAUAUAAACCCACGUGCAGGGACAUGAAGCAGAGGACCUGCUUGGACUGUGACCACUGACAACCUCUCAGCUACACGAGGAGUUCAAGGAGUGCACCACAGUUUGUCAGUGGCUCCCAUGUACCUCUUGCUGCCUCAUGUCUGAAUGUCACCUUCCCAACUCUUCUGUGUGGUCAGAGCACAGGAGCCGGACUUUGGGAUGAAUCCAGCAUGAGAAAGGUGCUCCACAAGGACAAUUCCUGUGCUCCAGCCAGGCCAGAUUGGAAAACCCAACCAGGUGUGCAAUAGGGAUGUGGGGCCCCGACGACCAACUGGAGAUCUGCUCCUAUUUGGCUUUCCCAUUACUUUCCAAUGUAGAUGGAGCCAUGUGACACCCAGAGUCCCUCAGCAGCAACACACCAGUUAUGGAAAAGACUCUGAAACAUCACCAAAAAGAGGACUGGGCAAUACUGUGAAUUUCAAGUCUUUGAUGAACCAUCAUUCCAGUAACCCUGCCAGAUACAGAUACCACUGGUCUUAACUAGCACAGCCAGAGCUGAAGUUGCCAAGAACUCUGGAAAAAAAAGGGAGGAAAACAAAGUCAGCCGACUGCAUGCCAAGGAGGAGGCGGAAAAACAGGUACCUCUGGAACCCUCUCCACAUGAUGCUGUGGAGGGAAUUUUUUACCCUGUGGAGAAAUACCAGAGUUUUAAUUCCCUAUGGAGAAAACCAAAAGAAGCAGCUUCGACUCAACGCCCAGCUUUUAGAUGCCUAAACUGAGCCACAGGGCAGCCUGGCUGUUGCCAGGGAUAUAGUAAAUGCAUGUGACACCGGGCCACCACCAACAAUCGAGCGAGUCACACUCAUUCCUGGUGUAACGGCGCUGAAAUCGGCACAGCCGGGCUGGGAGCUGGACAGCCCAGCUAUGAACCUGGAUAAAGAGUUUUCUUUAAGGAAAGUGCUCUUAAAAAUAGCUUUCGGGGAGAAAUGUGCGGGUUUUACUUGUAAAAUGGCUGUUGGCAAAGGAUUUGUUGCCAAACUCCAGUCAGAGCACCAGUGAGAGGUGGUAAACAUGCCAUUCUGACAAGGAAUUAGCAGGCAACAUAGCACUGGGGAAAAUAUUACGACUUUCUUCUUCCCUGACCUGAAAGAGCCUGUUAGGAGAUUAGGAAUCUCCAUCUCUCAAAGGUAUAGCUGUUUUACCAAAAUUUAAUUAAUGAAGAAUAAUAUUUUGGGAACAAGAGAAAACACCUCUGUAGGAUGUGGAGUGUUAGGAAUACAUGGAAAGUUGCCUGUAUAAACAGUUCAGCAACUCUGGGAUAAAUUAUAGGAGCAUUUGUAUGCAUGAUUGCCCAUCUGUGUAAAACAAGACGUGCAGCCACAGACAGGAAUGAUGUGCAAGGCAGACGUGGGGCUGAUGUUAACUUGAUCCAGAACAGAAGAUCUGUCCCAUCACAUCUGAGUUUGACCCAAGGAAGUUUAGAUAAAUCUAAAUAAGUAAAUAAAUAGAGGAAGAGGCCUCAGUGAGAGGAAACUCAAGGUAUGCUAUCCACGAAUCUGUUUCUGGCUUUGGGGUUUAUUUAGACUCAAGUCAGAUUUUGGACUGUUAUUUCUCCACUUGAAGGUUUUUUGGCAGUUGCAGGAGGGCCGAAGGCUCAGAUCCAGCGUGUUCCUUCCAGCUGCAGGCCCAGCGCAGGCCACGGGCACUGGCAGGGGUGUGGUGAGCUGGAGGGCUUCAAACCAGGGAUGCUGUCAAGAACUCUGCCUUCCACAGCUCCCCUCUCAAGCACCAGCUGCAAAAUGUCAACACCACCUUCCUCAGAGAACACAAUUAAUUAAACCAGGCUUAAUUAAUUAGUGUCAGUAAAGCAGAUGUAGCAGUUAUGGUGGAAGUAAACAAAUGUACAUAUUGUAAAUUAUCAUCUUCUCUGCAAAGGAUUUGGUCUGAAAUCCCUGUGGCCAUUUCAUUCCUCCCCACGAUGCUAUUGGGAAGGCCUCAGGGAAACAUGCAGAGAUAAACUGCUAAUUGAUGAGGAACUAAUAUACUUCUAUAGGUUUAUAUCUCAGAAAAACAAUCAGCAAAUAGAUUUGUUUAUUAACCCCUUUGGACUUGAUGGUGAAAUACAAUCCUGAUAUUUAAUUUCCAUAUCAUGCAACAUCAUGUGCCACAAAUAGGUCAAUUGUUUAAAGUCUUGGGAGUUUUAUUUGAAAUGUUUUACACUUGAAAAUCCAACUGAGGGUUUUGUAUCAUCUACCAGUGCUGUUCUUUGAUAGAGCAGGAGAAAAAGUGUUUCCUAUACAGGUAAUAAUCAACUGUGUAUCUUGGUCUGAGUGUGUUGCUCACCGGAGCAGAUUUUGGCCUGAUUUUGCCCUACUGAGAGUGAGGAAAAAUGAUGCUAAACUUGGGUUGGUUACACUGAAUGUAGCCUGAUGUGAGUAAGGGAGAGCAUCAUAACCCCACUGACCCAAUAUACACCUCCCCUGAGGCAAAAGGGACACCUUUUAUAAGGUGCUGAUGCACUGACAGCAUUCAUCCCUGCAUUGGAGGUUGAGAUCAAGGGAAAGAAAAGGGGAAAAAAAUUGGUGGGGUAAUGAAACACCAGUAACUAGUGAUUGUGAAGGUAUUUGUUAUAUGUGUCUGUGCAGUUGGUGUUCUGUAAAGCUGAAUGUGAGUGUGAAAAAGCAGAUGUGGAGCCACUCCAGUCUGGAGCCUUUAGAAGGAAAGUGAAGUAAAUCUCUCGUGCCCUGUAGAUAUGAGGACAAUGCAAACUCAAUAUAACGGGCACUGUAAUAGUGAAGCACACUUGGAAAAUGCAGAUAGAGAAGGCAUACUUUACUAGGGUACAGUCAUCUCUCUAAUUCAUGCUGUAAAGAAGCCACGAAGGGGGAAAAAUUCCCCCUUUCCUUGGUGAUGACUCAAUGGAUUAAUGUAGGCAGCAGCAUAUGGCCAGGGUGCUGUGAGGGGUAAGUUGCAGAGAGAGGCCACUACUCUUCCUGCCACUUAGCCUGUGUGAUUCCCCUUUCCUCCCCCAGGAUACUGAUAUCAAUUAGUCUCUGUGGAAACAGAAGUUUCCGUGGCCCAUGCCAAGGUCUCCCCUUUCUUUCUUCAGCUGACAGCAAUUCCUGUGCAAAGGACUGCCCAGUGCCGGAUGGUGUGUGACGGACACUGCUGCAGGUGCAUCUUAGAGAGGUUUUACAAGACAGCUUUGCCAGCAGCCAGCUACACUGAGCCUUCUGGGAUCUGAGCACCUACUCAGGCAAUGGUAACUUUGCAUUUAAUCGUCAAUGACAGGUUUUACAUGAACACAAAAUACAAGUAAUUCUCAGGAACUUAUGCACUAAAAGCUAACCAGCUCUCCAUAACAUCUUGUCCUUUUUUUGUAACCUUGUUUUAUAUUCUGGAUAACACUUAAAAGUGUGUGUGGGGGGGAGCCCAGUUGAAUGCAAUUGAGGCAGUUGAAUGCAAUGGUCUGAUAACAAGUAACUCAACAUGUAACUAAACAAUACCAUCUUCAAGAAGUCACUGGUCAGAUCGUAUGACCUCCACUUAUACAGGAAUUUCUGAGAGCGAGUCCAGCACGUUAGUGCGUUACAGAGUCUGAGUACUUCUGCAGACCUCGUAUUAGUAGAUGCCCACAGGCAUCACCUCUCCUGCCUCUUCCCAUUUGCCAGUCCUCAUGCUGUACCCACGCCACGCUGGCAGUGCCUUUCCAAAUCUCUGCUCUUUUUCAGUAGUCAGUGAAUGAGAAGCCAAAAGCCAAGGGGCUGAAAUGUGGAGGCCCAGCAGGGUGCUAUGGCUGCAGCCUUUGCUACCUGCCUGCAGGAAGCUGAACAGGUUCCAUCCUCCUGUCCUGUACGUUAACUGGCCCGGCCUCUCCAAGGAGAGGCAGCAGCAUUGAUUUACUGCACUGUAUAAAUGUGUUUAUGGCUUGGCACGAACACACUUACACUCGCUAUUUUCCAGCGUGGAUUUCCAAUAAGCCCCUUGCUCAAAUGAGUCUAUUAAAUUUAGAGUGCUUGAAGCUAAAACUGAAUUCUGAGAGGUAGCUUUGGGGGUUGAAGCCCAAAACAGCUGGGAAAGGCUCCUGGAGCCUUCUGUUAGUGCCCGUUGGGGUUGAUAUUUAUAUUGAGCAAAAAUAAUUGAAGAAGUUAAAGCAACCCUGGCAGAACACAUCGCCUCAGCCUGAGCUGCCUUUUUACUUCAGCUGGCACUCAGACGCACCCGAUUCCACAGGGUUAUUAGAGCAGCUCCUGAAUUAAGCCAACGUGAAAUCAGAAUAUGACCCAUUCCUUUCUCUCCUUAUGGACCUAAUUUCCAGUAGUCUCAUUUCCCUGUUUCUGCAGUGGAGUACAAUAGCCGGGGGAGAAGCCCAUCCAACCAUGGUCCCUCCCUCAUGGGUGUGUUUUGGUCUCUGGUGUUCUGCGGGGCUGGGAUGCAGUUCCCUCCCCUCUCCCAGCCUGGAGCUGUCCUUGGAGCCUGUCAGUGCUGCCCUGCUCACUGCUGUGACACUGUCAUGUGUAACAGCAAUUUCCAUCCCUGCAGGGACAGGAAAUGGAGCAGAAAGUUUUAGAGGACCCCUAAGUACAGUCCAUAAUUACCUAUACCUGCUCAAGAUUAUGUCUCUCCAGCUAAGGAAUAAGGCUGAUUUCUAGUUGCUAGUAGUUGGACUUUAUUUGGAAUAAAAAAGGAAUGCCUUACUACCCAUGGAGGAAAAAAAAGAGAUUUGUAGAGAAUGGGAUUAAAUUAAAGAAAGUAGAGUUUAGGAUGAACUCUAGGGGUAAAAAUCUAUAGUAAAUCUACUGAACUGUGGAAUGAUCUCAAGUGAGCAAUGGAGCCUCACAGUGUGAAGAAAUAAAAUGAUAUCUGCCAAAGCCUUGGGAAGGCAAUGUCUGGGGAGGCAGCACGGCCUGGCUGUGGCAGUGCAGGAAUUGUGGGUGUUGGGAUUAUACAUUGUACAUCCACUGAACCUACACUUGUCCUGUAUUAAAGUCUGUGUGUAUUUCUCAGGUAGGUACGACCUGCAUAGCUUUAAAUCCUGCCUCCAUUUAAACUAAUGGGAAUCGUACAGGCUAACUGAACAGGAAGCCAUCAGAGCACACCAGUGACUCUGGCUGUCCCACCCUCAGCACAUGAUGCCUUAAAAAUUCUUCAGACCUACAUGAGUUAGAAUGUGGUUAUUACUGGAUAUUUCUGCUUAAGAAGUCUCCUCUUGGUUUUACAAUUAUCUGUAGCAUUCAGCUCUAGUACGUACGGGGAGAAAAGAAGACACAAACCAAAAGCAUUUCUCUCAUUUGCUGGAAGGAGAGAAAAAUACAACUGGACUUGCUACAGAAUUAGAACUAAGUAGAAUUACUUUGCGCUUUUUUUUUCCCAUGGAGUUUGUUCAGUUUCUGGCAGAUAACAAGGAAACAUCUCCUGAUCUGUAGCUGUCUGGGGAAUCCCUUUUCUAGAGGAAAGAGAAGUUGAGGAGGAAGAAGGUUGGUGGGCUGAGUCCUGAACCUGACCUAGAGCUGUGCCAACAAAUCCAUGUGCUGUGUGUGAGUGCCCUGGGGAACAGGACCCUUGUAGCUUCAAACACCACAAUACAAAUGCCUGGUCUGUUGUGCUCGUGGAUGUGUUUAUGAUCACUUGGAGGAUAAAAUACAACACUUUUCCAUGAUGGAGACUCCGGUCCCAGCCAAGAGAGCACAACCACACCGGUGUAACACUCCUCCUGCAAACACACCACCACCCAGGUAAGAGUUCAUCUGACUGAAAUAUCCCUGAGGCAGCUGACAAGAAACCUUGAACUGCUUGAAUACAAAACCAGAUGCCUGUGUUCACUGUGGGGUGACCCUCUGCUCCAGCUCUGUGGAGCAGCGAGGCCGAGCAGUCCCAGGGCAGGCGGGAGACUCCGGAGUGCCGCCAGGCUGAUGGAGACCGGCGUUUGUCCGAGGAUUAUCCUCAGGCCCCUCAUCAUCACAUUUUCGCUUGUUCUGUGUGGGUGGGGACUUGAUGACAAUUCCCUGAAAUUUCAAUUUGGAAGAAAGAGCUUCAUGUUUGACCUUUUCUCUCCAGCGCCAUGUCUGCCUGCCUUGCCCACAGGCUUCAGAUGGGUCCUGUUCCCUUCGGUUUAAGGUCCAGAUGAGCGAAAUGAGGAGAUCCCACGUCGGCUGCAUGAGCGUUCCUGCCACUGCCCGUGGCUGGAGUUGCCUGAUGCCGUGAGUUUUCUGUGUCAUGGACCAUCGUGAGAGAAAAUCAUGUGCUGAGGGAGAAACCCAGCAGUGAAGGAGUAAAUAGCUGCUCUGAAGAUCAGCUUAUUAAGAGGCAGACAUCUGAAUGAAGUGAGGUUCCUGGGGAGUCUGUGGCACCAGGCAUGCCAAAAAGGGAGGCAUGAAACCCUGUUAUGUGCCAUGACCAAGCAAAAGGCGUUUUUACCUAGGCAGGAUUGGUGGUUAAUAUUCUGCUCCUGUGCUGUGCUCACUGAAGCCCCGGAGUGCUUUUGUUCCUGAUCUGGGUCUUGUGCAGCACAUUUACAUGUGACCAACUGUUGGAGUGGCUCAGUCACCUCGGUACAGAACAGGGCUCAGCUGAAAUGCCAAAGGCACGAGCUUCGUUUGGGACGUGAGGAAAAACCAAACAAAAAUAUCACAACUUUUUUUUUUCUUUUUCUUUUUUUCUUUGAUAAAAGCCUUAACAACAGCUUCCUUAUUCAACAGGACGGUGUGUCGUAUGGUUACAUUACAUCUGGUCAAAAGCCUAAGGAUGAUUUAGCUUUUAACUAACUUUUUUUACUUUUAAUUGAGUUUGUUAGGCGUAAAUAGCUGAAUGACACAGCAUUUGUUUAACUCAGUAUAUUCACAGCUUAAUUAAAUAAUUCACAUGCUAGUCUCUAAUCGUGACGUGAAAAGACCAAAAACCAAAUUAAAUAAUCAUAGCUCCCUGAGCCAAUUGCUUGGAAAAGAGGAGCAGGGUCUGUUGAGACAUAUGGCAAACAAUCUUUGCUGCAAACCAGCAAGCUAAAACACACCACUACUACCAUGUGGUAAGAGUACAUAUCCUUUUGCACAACAUAUUUUCCAAACACACUCUCGCCAGGAGCAGCAGGUGUGUAACUGAACUUAGGUUUGAACAGAUAAUUUGAGCACUAUGAAUUGGAAGGAAAGGGAGGAAACUGGGAAAGGGGAUGAAAUAUUGUGAAUUAAAAUUGCAAUUUCCCUUACAGCUUUUUUAAUUGUUAGCUUAUAAGUUGGGAAUUUGUGAAAUGUGACAAAUAAGGAAGUAAUUGAGAAUGCCUGCUGCACUGAGAUCUGUCUCUGCCAACAUAUGCGUUCUCUGCUGUGGUGCUGUGGUAAUCCUGGUGUGGCACAGGCAGGACGAAGGAGGUGUGCAGGGGAAUAUCCACUGGAGCCAGAACGGCAGGGCCUCGAAAAUUCCAUAUGAGGACCUCAGAGUAGAGUAAGACACCACCAGGAGAUUGGAACCUUUGCCAGCCUGCAGAGGCCUGUCCUCCAACUGAGAACAGCUCAAGUGCAACGUGUGCUGGCCACGUGUCCUCCUGUGCCUUGUUCAUUUUUCC